UUGAAAGGGAAACGAUUGAAGUCAGUCGUACCGGCGGGUAAUCAGCCUUUUGGGUGUGAUUAUGUGGAGUGUGAGGAGCUAAUCGCCUUCAUCUUUGCAUAUUCGUGCACUUUGGGUGUACUUGCUCGUGUGGUAGGUUAACAUCAAUUUUGAUCAUCAUAAAAUGAUUGAAGGAAUGUAGCUUCGAUCUCGUAUUGAAGUGUUAUAGCCUUUGGUAGAUGUGAUGAUCGGGAUUGGGGAUUGCAACGGAUACCCUUCGGGGCUACCCGUCUGAUCUCUGAAAGUUGCUCUGGUGCUGAAAGCUUGCUUAUGGUAUCAAAGUUGACGUUUAAUAGGUUAGAACGGGAUAAAUUCGUUAAGGAUGUUGACGUA
This 372-nucleotide ribosomal RNA is filed under the name uncultured Glomeromycotina. Its description in RNAcentral is "LSU rRNA". Lineage: Eukaryota; Fungi; Glomeromycota. The record is from RNAcentral.